UACCAACUACGGUGUUUGUUAGCGACCAUCAUAAUCCUUGAGCCUAUUUAUCAAUCUCGGGGACUUUCGUGUAACCUUGGUGUGCAUGCCUGAUUUUCCAGGAAGCCUGAUGGGUUGCCAAUAACCCCACCUGAACUUUUGGUUCAAGGUUGAUAGAAUUGCGACGGCACUGUGGUUGG
Molecule: non-coding RNA, 179 nt
Filed under: Gammaproteobacteria bacterium
Lineage: Bacteria; Pseudomonadati; Pseudomonadota; Gammaproteobacteria
Description: partial 6S RNA
Rfam family: 6S / SsrS RNA
About the family: E. coli 6S RNA was the first non coding RNA to be sequenced, but its function was unknown until recently. It consists of 184 nucleotides that fold into an extended hairpin structure with a large single-stranded internal bulge. The 6S RNA specifically associates with RNA polymerase holoenzyme containing the sigma70 specificity factor.
Source: RNAcentral